UACGUAGGGUGCAAGCGUUGUCCGGAAUUAUUGGGCGUAAAGAGCUCGUAGGCGGUCUGUCGCGUCUGCUGUGAAAACUCGGGGCUUAACCCCGGGCCUGCAGUGGGUACGGGCAGGCUAGAGUGCGGUAGGGGAGACUGGAAUUCCUGGUGUAGCGGUGAAAUGCGCAGAUAUCAGGAGGAACACCGGUGGCGAAGGCGGGUCUCUGGGCCGUAACUGACGCUGAGGAGCGAAAGCGUGGGGAGCGAACAGG
Molecule: ribosomal RNA, 253 nt
Filed under: uncultured bacterium
Lineage: Bacteria
Description: partial 16S ribosomal RNA
Rfam family: Bacterial small subunit ribosomal RNA
Source: RNAcentral